This 82-nucleotide transfer RNA is filed under the name Gloeobacter kilaueensis JS1. Its description in RNAcentral is "tRNA-Leu (CAG) (tRNA-Leu-CAG-1-1)". It matches the Rfam family "tRNA". Rfam says of the family: Transfer RNA (tRNA) molecules are approximately 80 nucleotides in length. Their secondary structure includes four short double-helical elements and three loops (D, anti-codon, and T loops). Lineage: Bacteria; Bacillati; Cyanobacteriota; Cyanophyceae; Gloeobacterales; Gloeobacteraceae. RNAcentral also lists the same sequence under 1 other name. The record is from Rfam by way of RNAcentral.
GCGGAACUGGCGGAAUUGGUAGACGCGCAUGAUUCAGGUUCAUGUGCCGCGAGGCGUGGAGGUUCAAGUCCUCUGUUCCGCA